Molecule: ribosomal RNA, 499 nt
Filed under: uncultured bacterium
Lineage: Bacteria
Description: bacterial SSU rRNA
Rfam family: Bacterial small subunit ribosomal RNA
Source: RNAcentral
AACGAACGUUAGCGGCGCGCCUAACACAUGCAAGUCGCACGAGAAAGGGCUUCGGCCCCGGUACAGUGGCGCACGGGUGAGUAACACGUGGGUAAUCUGCCCUCGAGCGGGGGAUAACAUUCCGAAAGGAGUGCUAAUACCGCAUAAGACCACGCCUUCGAAAGAAGAAGCGGUCAAAGCUGGCCUCUAUACAUAAGCUAGCACUCGAGAAUGAGCCCGCGGAGCAUCAGCUAGUUGGUGAGGUAAUGGCUCACCAAGGCUUAGACGCUUAGCUGGUCUGAGAGGAUGAUCAGCCACACUGGAACUGAGACACGGUCCAGACUCCUACGGGAGGCAGCAGUGGGGAAUCUUGCGCAAUGGGCGAAAGCCUGACGCAGCGACGCCGCGUGAGUGAUGAAGGCCUUCGGGUUGUAAAGCUCUGUGGGGAGAGAAGAAUAAGUGCGGGCUAAUACUCCGCAUGAUGACGGUAUCUCCUUAGCAAGCACCGGCUAACUCUGUG